Molecule: ribosomal RNA, 493 nt
Filed under: uncultured bacterium
Lineage: Bacteria
Description: partial 16S ribosomal RNA
Rfam family: Bacterial small subunit ribosomal RNA
Source: RNAcentral
AUUGAACGCUGGCGGCAUGCUUUACACAUGCAAGUCGAACGGUAACAGGUUAAGCUGACGAGUGGCGAACGGGUGAGUAAUGCAUCGGAACGUGCCCGAUCGUGGGGGAUAACGCAGCGAAAGCUGCGCUAAUACCGCAUACGAUCUGAGGAUGAAAGCGGGGGACCGUAAGGCCUCGCGCGAUCGGAGCGGCCGAUGUCAGAUUAGGUAGUUGGUGGGGUAAAGGCCCACCAAGCCGACAACCUGUAGCUGGUCUGAGAGGACGACCAGCCACACUGGGACUGAGACACGGCCCAGACUCCUACGGGAGGCAGCAGUGGGGAAUUUUGGACAAUGGGCGAAAGCCUGAUCCAGCAAUGCCGCGUGCAGGAAGAAGGCCUUCGGGUUGUAAACUGCUUUUGUACGGAGCGAAAAGGUCCUUUCUAAUACAAGGGGCUCAUGACGGUACCGUAAGAAUAAGCACCGGCUAACUACGUGCCAGCAGCCGCGGUAA